AUUGAACGCUGGCGGCAUGCUUUACACAUGCAAGUCGAACGGCAGCGCGGGCUUCGGCCUGGCGGCGAGUGGCGAACGGGUGAGUAAUGCAUCGGAACGUGCCCAGUAGUGGGGGAUAGCCCGGCGAAAGCCGGAUUAAUACCGCAUACGACCUGAGGGUGAAAGCGGGGGACCGAAAGGCCUCGCGCUAUUGGAGCGGCCGAUGUCGGAUUAGCUAGUUGGUGGGGUAAAGGCUUACCAAGGCUACGAUCCGUAGCUGGUCUGAGAGGACGACCAGCCACACUGGGACUGAGACACGGCCCAGACUCCUACGGGAGGCAGCAGUGGGGAAUUUUGGACAAUGGGGGCAACCCUGAUCCAGCCAUGCCGCGUGCGGGAAGAAGGCCUUCGGGUUGUAAACCGCUUUUGUUCGGGAAGAAAUCCUCUGGGCUAAUACCCCGGGGGGAUGACGGUACCGGAAGAAUAAGCACCGGCUAACUACGUG
Molecule: ribosomal RNA, 484 nt
Filed under: uncultured bacterium
Lineage: Bacteria
Description: partial 16S ribosomal RNA
Rfam family: Bacterial small subunit ribosomal RNA
Source: RNAcentral